UGUCGGUAAAACUCGUGCCAGCCACCGCGGUUAUACGAGAGACCCUAAUUGAUAGAUACGGCGUAAAGAGUGGUUUAGGACAAGAACAAAUAAAGCCAAAGAUCCUCCUGGCUGUAGCACGCACUCCGAGGACACGAAGACCCACACGAAAGUAGCUUUAAUUAUAUUUUCCUGACCCCACGAAAGCUAAUAAACAAACUGGGAUUAGAUACCCCACUAUGGA
RNAcentral lists this ribosomal RNA (223 nucleotides) under Characidae sp. I-GIA:419. Its description in RNAcentral is "partial small subunit ribosomal RNA". Lineage: Eukaryota; Metazoa; Chordata; Actinopteri; Characiformes; Characidae. The record is from RNAcentral.